AAAUAUAAUACGUGUGUCAACAUUGAUUUGAACUCGACCGUUAAAAACACAAUUUAUGUUCCGUGUGCAUGCAAGCUGAUCUUUGCCUUCAAUAAUUAAUAUAUUGCGCUACGUAGCAGACACAAAAGAGCUGUACAUAUUCUUAUGCAUCGAAUUUUUAUCGAAAAUAUAUAAAAUACAUCAUGGUGCGCGGUAAAAGAGCUCGAUAUUUUAGUUAUUUUCAAGAUAAUGAACCGAAUGCCAAAAUUCCAAGGCAAACUAAAUUCAAUCGUCGAAAUCGUGGGAAAAAGCAAUUGCAUAGUUUCAAAUCCACAACGAAUAUUUCUUCAACGCCUGGUGUAACUGAAAAUUUAAUGGAUUUAUCAAUUGUGACUAAUAACGAUUCACAAAUUCAAAAUGCCACGUCACAUAAUUUUGAAGAAACAUGCUCGUUUAUUGAUACCUCAGACUCUCAAAUGGCAAUGAACAUGUCGGCCGUGAAUGAUGAAAGUGUUAUAGCAAACGAAAGCAUUUGGUCCAACGAUUCGGUGUCGCCUAUUGAACAAUUUAAUCAUGAAGAAAAUGAAUUUGAAAUGUACCCGGAAUAUUCAAAAAAAAUUCAUGAUAGUUUGAAUUGUACAGUAAGCGAUGCAUAUACCAUGAUUUACGCAUAUUCAGUUCGUCAUACUCUUAACUGGACUCAAACUGAAGAUUUGGCCCGGCUGAUUAAUUCAGUCAUUGGUAAAGAGUCACUCAAUCCAUCAAAAUACACAUUUAAAAAAAUGUUUAAAUCGACUGAAACCAAGACAAGUGUACAUUUUUUUUUUGUCAUGUAUGUGAAAAAUAUUUAGGUGUUAAGGGACAGUUCAAAGAAACAGUGUGUACAAAAUGCGAUAGUGACAUACACACGGAUACAAAAUAUGAAAAAAAUCACUUUGUGUCAAUAUCCAUUGAAAAUCAUUUAAAAAAUGUGCUUGAACAAAAUUCACUGCAUUUAUUGUUCGAUACGAAAUCCACUUCGGAGGAUAUAUGUGAUGUACAUGAUUCGAAAAAUUUUCAGCGAUUGAAACGUGAAAUGGGAGAUGAUCCUUACAUAACAUUGACAUUAUAUACGGAUGGUGCUGCUGUAUUUAAGUCCACAAAAAAUAAAUCACUUUGGCCUAUUUGCCUUUAUGUUCAUGAAAUCGAUCUUAAUUACCGUUUCAAGCGAGAGAAUAUUUUAUGUUCUGCAAUAUCUUUCGGAAAAAAACCGAAUAUGCAAGUGUUUUUCAGACCAUUGAUUGAAGAAAUAAAUGCAAUAAAUCGUAGAGGUGGAAUAAAUGUUCGUGAUAAAAAUGAACAGUUAAGAGUAGUUAAAGUGGUUCCGAUGAUAUUCACCGCUGAUGCAUUAGCUAAGGCUGAUGUUUUAAAUUUAAUGCAACACAAUGGCCAUUAUGGUUGUCCAUAUUGUUUGCAUUGUGGAACAAAUAUAGAAGGAACAACACAAAUCCGGUAUUGUAAGAGAAACAAUGCACCUGACAGAAAAAGCAAUGUUGUAAGAGUGGACAUGGUUCGCGCUCACGAAUUGGGAACAUGUAUCAACGGAUACAAAGGUCUUUCACCUCUCCUUGCACUCAAUUAUAACUUCGAUAUUGUUUGGCAAGUAGUCAUCGAUAAGAUGCAUUGUGUAGACAUGGGCGUAAUCAAGAAAAUGUUUGACAUGUUUUUGAACUUCAAAUAUCGCGAAGAAAGGUAUGCGUUGUGCAUAUAAAAGGAUUAUUUUGGAUCACUUCAAUUAAUAAAUUUUAUUUCGUUUUUUUAUCGGUGAUCGAUUACAUAUUCUAGAUAGAAGAAUGAAAGAAAUUCGAAUGCCUCGACUGAUAAGGAGAAAUUUUCGACCACUUUCACAUCGCGAGUAUUUUCAUGCUUAUGAGUGGAAAUUUAUUUUACUCUUUGUUGCCUACCCUCUUUUGAAGGGAGUGCUACCUGAUCGGAAUUUUGAACACUUGGGGAAAUUAGUUGACGCUAUGCAUAUUCUGAACAGCACACGCAUAAGUGAACGGAAAAGAAAGAAGGCAACUAAACUAUUAAAUUCAUUCGUUGACGAAUUCGAAGAUCUCUAUGGAGAAAUAAAUAUGGUUUACAAUGUUCAUCAGCUCAAACACUUGACUGAAUGUGUGAACCGAAAUGGACCACUCUUUGCAUACUCAAAUUACCCAAUGGAAGAUUUCAUAGGUCAUUUAGUAUCUUUCGUAAAAGCGCCAACAGAUGUAACAACUCAAGUUAGCUCACGAUACAUUUUGGAAAAAAAUUUGCUUGUUCACUUACACAAAUCAGAAAAAGCGCGCGAUUUUUAUGAUAAAAUUGAAAGUAAAUUAUCUUCUCCCAUUGUUCGAAAAGUAAAUGAGUCGUUAGCUAUUGGCAAAGCAAAAGUAUUGUCGGAUUUGAGCGUUCAAGAAAUGUCAUUCAUUAGAAACUUUUUGAGAAUCGAUGAAUCCAGUGUGUCCAUAACAUAUAGAAAUAGCACUAAAUAGUGUCGAUAUCUAUACUAUAUCGGGGCACUAUAUAUGUAAGAUAUUCCGCAAGACACCGUAGCUCACGAACGAAGUGAGUGCGGACAGCAAACAUGUUGACGCAUACACACAGUUUAUUCUACUGCCGCACGGAAAUUUGUGAUUUUUUCCGUCUACACUGACUUCGAUCGUGCGAUACGGUGCCGUGCGGCAAUAUCUUUCAUAUAUAGUGGACCGAUAUAGUAUAGAUAUCGACACUAUUUAGUGAUAUUUCUAUAUAUUAUGGACACACUGGAUGAAUCCAUUCAAAUUUAUGAGUAUAGUGCAUCCUUUUUAUGUAAUCAAACGUAUUAUGAGACUUCUUCUAAUAAUUUACGUAAGCGUACUAAUGAUUCAAUUUUAUUUAAUGCCGGCAGUAAUUGUUUUGCUGAAAUUAGAGCUAUUGUAGUAGUUGAUGACCAAUUAUAUUUUUUAAUUGACGAAAAAUUUUCAAAA
Long non-coding RNA from Contarinia nasturtii (swede midge), 2966 nucleotides. RefSeq lists it as uncharacterized. The record is from RefSeq and is a predicted model, not a curated record. NCBI's taxonomy places the organism in Eukaryota, Metazoa, Arthropoda, Insecta, Diptera, Cecidomyiidae. The transcript is spliced from 3 exons.